This 466-nucleotide ribosomal RNA is filed under the name uncultured bacterium. RNAcentral describes it as "partial 16S ribosomal RNA". It matches the Rfam family "Bacterial small subunit ribosomal RNA", at positions 28 to 505 of the family's 1533-position model. The record is from RNAcentral.
GACGAACGCUGGCGGCGUGCUUAACACAUGCAAGUCGAACGGAAAGGCCCUGCUUUUGUGGGGUGCUCGAGUGGCGAACGGGUGAGUAACACGUGAGUAACCUGCCCUUGACUUUGGGAUAACUUCAGGAAACUGGGGCUAAUACCGGAUAGGAGCUCCUGCUGCAUGGUGGGGGUUGGAAAGUUUCGGCGGUUGGGGAUGGACUCGCGGCUUAUCAGCUUGUUGGUGGGGUAGUGGCUUACCAAGGCUUUGACGGGUAGCCGGCCUGAGAGGGUGACCGGCAACAUUGGGACGGAGAUACGGCCAAGACUCCUACGGGAGGCAGAAGUGGGGAAUAUUGCACAGUGGGCGGAAGCCUGAUGCAGCAACGCCGCGUGCGGGAUGACGGCCUUCGGGUUGUAAACCGCUUUCGCCUGUGACGAAGCGUGAGUGACGGUAAUGGGUAAAGAAGCACCGGCGAACUACG